UGAACGUCGUGGCCCUAGACCAGUCAGCCAGACGCAGAAUGUCCUCCAAACGAGCCCCCGAAACUGCCAGGGCAGUGGCAGCCGCGCCCCUGGCCGAGUGAGCGGUAAAGACCGUCGUAUCAAUCCCGGAAAGGGACAUGACCCACUUCAUCCAACGCGCCAAAGUGGGACUGGUCACCGGACCAAACGGAUUGCAAAAAGAGAGUAACAACUGUGG
Molecule: long non-coding RNA, 217 nt
Organism: Bufo bufo (common toad)
Lineage: Eukaryota; Metazoa; Chordata; Amphibia; Anura; Bufonidae
Exons: 4
Source: RefSeq, a predicted model, not a curated record